Molecule: ribosomal RNA, 535 nt
Filed under: uncultured bacterium
Lineage: Bacteria
Description: bacterial SSU rRNA
Rfam family: Bacterial small subunit ribosomal RNA
Source: RNAcentral
CUCCUACGGGAGGCAGCAGUGGGGAAUAUUGGACAAUGGGGGCAACCCUGAUCCAGCGACGCCGCGUGGGUGAAGAAGGCCUGCGGGUUGUAAAGCCCUUUCGGUUGGGAAGAAAAGCUGUGACCUAACACGUUGCGGCCUUGACGUAGCCAACUAAAGAAGCACCGGCUAACUCUGUGCCAGCAGCCGCGGUAAUACAGAGGGUGCGAGCGUUAAUCGGAAUUACUGGGCGUAAAGCGCGCGUAGGCGGCUUUUCAAGUCGAUUGUGAAAUCCCCGGGCUUAACCUGGGAACUGCAGUCGAGACUGUCUAGCUAGAGUAUGGGAGAGGGAAGUGGAAUUUCAGGUGUAGCGGUGAAAUGCGUAGAUAUCUGAAGGAACAUCAGUGGCGAAAGCGACUUCCUGGACCAAUACUGACGCUCAUGUGCGAAAGCGUGGGGAGCAAACAGGAUUAGAUACCCUGGUAGUCCACGCCAUAAACGAUGAGAACUGGAUGUCGGGAGGGUCUGCCUCUCGGUGUCGUAGCUAACGCGUUAA